Molecule: ribosomal RNA, 515 nt
Filed under: uncultured bacterium
Lineage: Bacteria
Description: bacterial SSU rRNA
Rfam family: Bacterial small subunit ribosomal RNA
Source: RNAcentral
GACGAACGCUGGCGGCGUGGAUUAGGCAUGCAAGUCGAACGGUAUCAUCCCUUCGGGGGUGAGAGAGUGGCGAACUGGUGAGUAACGCGUAGGUUAUCUACCCUCAAGACGGGGACAACCCAGGGAAACUUGGGCUAAUACCGGAUGUGAGCAACUUUUAGUUGUUUGAAAGGUGGCGUAAGCUGUCGCUUGGGGAUGAGCCUGCGUCCUAUUAGUUAGUUGGUGAGGUAACGGCUCACCUAGGCAAUGAUAGGUAGGCGGCCUUAACGGGUGGUCGCCCACACUGGGAUUGAGAUACGGCCCAGACUCCUACGGGAGGCAGCAGUCGAGAAUAGUCUACAAUGGUCGGAAGACUGAUAGUGCGACGCCGCGUGAACGAUGAAUCCCCGUUCGGGGGUAGUUAAAGUUUCUUUUAUAUUGUGAGCAGUGCUUUCUUAUAUUAACAGUAGUGGGGAGAGAGAUAUUAGCAUAUAGAAUAAGCAACGGCUAACUCCGUGCCAGCAGCCGACGGUAAA